UACGGAGGGGGCUAGCGUUGUUCGGAAUUACUGGGCGUAAAGCGCACGUAGGCGGCUUUGUAAGUUAGAGGUGAAAGCCCAGGGCUUAACCCUGGAAUUGCCUUUAAGACUGCAUCGCUAGAAUCGUGGAGAGGUGAGUGGAAUUCCGAGUGUAGAGGUGAAAUUCGUAGAUAUUCGGGAAGAACACCAGUGGCGAAGGCGACUCACUGGACACGAUUGACGCUGAGGUGCGAAAGCGUGGGGAGCAAACAGG
This 253-nucleotide ribosomal RNA is filed under the name uncultured bacterium. RNAcentral describes it as "partial 16S ribosomal RNA". It matches the Rfam family "Bacterial small subunit ribosomal RNA", at positions 524 to 776 of the family's 1533-position model. The record is from RNAcentral.